Molecule: transfer RNA, 64 nt
Filed under: Sepioteuthis lessoniana
Lineage: Eukaryota; Metazoa; Mollusca; Cephalopoda; Myopsida; Loliginidae
Description: tRNA-His
Source: RNAcentral
GAGUUAGUUUAAUAUAAAAUAAUAAAUUGUGGGUUUAUAGAUAAAUUCAAUUUACUUUACUAUG